RNAcentral lists this ribosomal RNA (237 nucleotides) under uncultured bacterium. RNAcentral's name for it is "partial 16S ribosomal RNA". It matches the Rfam family "Bacterial small subunit ribosomal RNA", at positions 524 to 758 of the family's 1533-position model. The record is from RNAcentral.
GACGAACCGUGCGAACGUUGUUCGGAAUCACUGGGCUUAAAGGGCGCGUAGGCGGGCCCGCAAGUCAGGGGUGAAAUCCCACGGCUCAACCGUGGAAGUGCCUUUGAUACUGCGGGUCUCGAGGGAGGUAGGGGCGUGCGGAAACUUCCGGUGUAGCGGUGAAAUGCGCAGAUAUCAGGAAGAACACCCGUGGCGAAGGCGGCUCUCUGGGACGGUACUGACGGCUGAGACGCGAAA